AACCAUGGACCAAAGUCUGGGCAAACACACGCAACACGACUCUCAAUGUGAAGAAGGGUGUGUGCAAAGAUGAAGAGAAAGACUUUAAAGUGUGUGAGAAGGCUUACAGUGGGCUGCCAAAGAAGACUUCAAUAUCUUUAAAGUGGGUAAACACUGGCUUUUGUAGGUACAAAAGUAGCUAUAUAUCAGCUCACAGGUGUUUAAAAUGAGAAAGUACUCCGUAUGGGGUGAGUGCAGAGUAAAUUGGACAGGGCUUCCUCGCCCUUUUCUCUUGCAAAAUGGCCAACCCAAGCCCUCUAUUUAUAGAGGGUGGAGCCGUAGGUGUACCAGCGGCUGGGCUGUAGGUGUACCAAAGGCUACCCGAAUUGCCCCGGGUUUCUCGGGUCGGGUCGUCUCGUAGUACGUGCACUCGGGCACUGUAACGUCUGCUCGAACUUUCAGAAGUGCAAUCCGGGCAUCCGAUUGAGGUAUACAAGACCUAUUUCGGACCGCCGUUGUCGAGAGCUGUACAAUGGCAUGGGAUUAGAGUUUGUAUGAAGUCAUUGAAGAUGGGACGAAGCCCUCUGGUCUUCAAGCUUCAAAUUCUAUCUGUUACCCCGUACAAUAGUCAUUCAGGAUUGGUUCUCCUUAAUUCUUGUGGGACAUCGUUGUGUAGAGAUGUGUAUGAAAUGUUGAGACGACGUGACGUGGCAUCGCAUUUGGCAAGAUGAUGAUGUUUCCCUUCACCGGUGUUAUCGCCGGUUUGGGCUGAUAAAGCAGACGUUGCUCAGGGCUUCGCUGAGAUUGGACUGCUGCAAUUGUUGAAGGUCCUCAGUGUCAUCUCUGAGGUGUGCCUGCCCUCCCGAUGUUAUCUCUGGGUUGGUACUGAGUAUCUCGUUGUGAGUGCCGAGAUUGAAGCUAGUUGCAUUUGAAACAAGUAUUUCCG
RNAcentral lists this long non-coding RNA (925 nucleotides) under Panax ginseng (ginseng). Its description in RNAcentral is "long non-coding RNA (PGIN_LNC003773)". Lineage: Eukaryota; Viridiplantae; Streptophyta; Magnoliopsida; Apiales; Araliaceae. The record is from RNAcentral.